AGGCCUAACACAUGCAAGUCGGACGAGAAGGUUCCUUCGGGAACUGGAGAGUGGCGCACGGGUGAGUAACGCGUGGGGACCUACCUCUUAGUGGGGGAUAACGGUUGGAAACGACCGCUAAUACCGCAUACGCCCUUCGGGGGAAAGAUUUAUCGCUAAGAGAUGGACCCGCGUUGGAUUAGAUAGUUGGUGAGGUAACGGCUCACCAAGUCGGCGAUCCAUAGCUGGUUUGAGUGGAUGAUCAGCCACACUGGGACUGAGACACGGCCCAGACUCCUACGGGAGGCAGCAGUGGGGAAUAUUGGACAAUGGGGGCAACCCUGAUCCAGCCAUGCUGCGUGAGUGAAGAAGGCCUUCGGGUUGUAAAGCUCUUUCAGAUGCGAAGAUGAUGACGGUAACAUCAGAAGAAGCCCC
Molecule: ribosomal RNA, 414 nt
Filed under: uncultured Alphaproteobacteria bacterium
Lineage: Bacteria; Pseudomonadati; Pseudomonadota; Alphaproteobacteria
Description: bacterial SSU rRNA
Rfam family: Bacterial small subunit ribosomal RNA
Source: RNAcentral